This 245-nucleotide ribosomal RNA is filed under the name uncultured bacterium. RNAcentral's name for it is "partial 16S ribosomal RNA". It matches the Rfam family "Bacterial small subunit ribosomal RNA", at positions 524 to 768 of the family's 1533-position model. The record is from RNAcentral.
AACGUAGGAGGCGAGCGUUAUCCGGAUUUACUGGGUGUAAAGCGUGUGCAGGCGGACCAGCAAGUUGGAUGUGAAAGCUCCUGGCUUAACUGGGAGAGGUCGUUCAAAACUGCUGGACUUGAGUAUGGGAGAGGGAGGCGGAAUUCCGGGUGUAGUGGUGAAAUGCGUAGAUAUCCGGAGGAACACCAGUGGCGAAAGCGGCCUCCUGGCCCAAAACUGACGCUCAGACACGAAAGCUAGGGGAG